RNAcentral lists this transfer RNA (55 nucleotides) under Heterocephalus glaber (naked mole-rat). It matches the Rfam family "tRNA", at positions 10 to 63 of the family's 71-position model. From Rfam's summary of the family: Transfer RNA (tRNA) molecules are approximately 80 nucleotides in length. Their secondary structure includes four short double-helical elements and three loops (D, anti-codon, and T loops). Lineage: Eukaryota; Metazoa; Chordata; Mammalia; Rodentia; Bathyergidae. The record is from Rfam by way of RNAcentral.
GCUCAGUGGUAGAGCACAUGCCUAGCAAGUAUAAGGCCAUGGGUUCAAUCCCCAA